This is a non-coding RNA of Epinephelus moara (kelp grouper), 548 nucleotides long. The record is from the annotation of a RefSeq genome assembly. NCBI's taxonomy places the organism in Eukaryota, Metazoa, Chordata, Actinopteri, Perciformes, Serranidae.
GAGGACAGAGAACAGUGGACACACAGUUUAACAUGAUGGACUAUAGGACAGGACUACUGCUUUUAACUGUCUGCUGGGCAGGUGUUGAUGGUCAGACUCUGACAGAAUCUGAACCAGUGAUUAAAAGGCCUGGAGAAUCUCACAGACUGACCUGUACAGCCUCUGGAUUCACAUUUAGUGACUACUAUAUGCUCUGGAUCAGACAGGCUCCUGGAAAAGGACUGGAGUGGGUUGCCAGGAUUCAAAGUGGUAGUGGUAGCAGCAAGCUCUACUCUCAGUCAAUCCAAGGCCGGUUCACCAUCUCCAGAGACAACAGCAGACAGCAGGUGUAUCUGCAGAUGAACAGUCUGAAGACUGAAGAUUCUGCUGUUUAUUAUUGUGCUCGAUAGCCACAGUGACUGGAGUUGGCUGAGCAGCUGUACAAAAACCUACAGUACUCAUUUUAUUGGCUGGUUUGCUUUGGUUUCAGGCCUCAAGCACAAGUUACCUGUGGACAAACACUGUGUCCUGGACCUGGAUUACAGGAAAAGCAGAGACAGAAUCGCUUA